UGCAAGGUGGUCAGACAAUUUUGUCAGAACUG
This 32-nucleotide non-coding RNA is filed under the name Mus musculus (house mouse). Lineage: Eukaryota; Metazoa; Chordata; Mammalia; Rodentia; Muridae. The record is from RNAcentral.